Molecule: non-coding RNA, 31 nt
Filed under: Mus musculus (house mouse)
Lineage: Eukaryota; Metazoa; Chordata; Mammalia; Rodentia; Muridae
Source: RNAcentral
UGCUGAUGCCGCCUUUGAGUCCUUUCAGAGU